This 253-nucleotide ribosomal RNA is filed under the name uncultured bacterium. RNAcentral's name for it is "partial 16S ribosomal RNA". It matches the Rfam family "Bacterial small subunit ribosomal RNA", at positions 524 to 776 of the family's 1533-position model. The record is from RNAcentral.
GACGUAGGGCGCGAGCGUUGUCCGGAUUUAUUGGGCGUAAAGAGCUCGUAGGCGGCUUGUCGCGUCGUCUGUGAAAUCCCGCGGCUCAACCGCGGGUCUGCAGUCGAUACGGGCAGGCUAGAGUUCGGUAGGGGAGACUGGAAUUCCUGGUGUAGCGGUGAAAUGCGCAGAUAUCAGGAGGAACACCGGUGGCGAAGGCGGGUCUCUGGGCCGAUACUGACGCUGAGGUGCGAAAGCGUGGGGAGCAAACAGG